UCUACCCAUUGCCUGCCUCCCAG
This 23-nucleotide microRNA is filed under the name Mus musculus (house mouse). RNAcentral describes it as "mmu-miR-7066-3p". The record is from miRBase by way of RNAcentral. Lineage: Eukaryota; Metazoa; Chordata; Mammalia; Rodentia; Muridae.